Molecule: ribosomal RNA, 164 nt
Filed under: uncultured bacterium
Lineage: Bacteria
Description: partial 16S ribosomal RNA
Rfam family: Bacterial small subunit ribosomal RNA
Source: RNAcentral
UAGGGAAUCUUCCACAAUGGGCGAAAGUCUGAUGGAGCAACGCCGCGUGAGUGAAGAAGGGUUUCGGCUCGUAAAACUCUGUUGUUAAAGAAGAACAUAUCUGAGAGUAACUGUUCAGGUAUUGACGGUAUUUAACCAGAAAGCCACGGCUAACUACGUGUCAG